CGCGUAGAUCACGAAUAUAAACUUAGUUUUUUCAAAAAUAGUUUGUAACUCAAAGAAAAUUCAAAACUUUAAAACCCAAAAAAUUUGAAAAUCUAUAUUUGAACAAAUUAAUCAAAACCAAUGGUUGUAAAAGCUUCAGUGAUGGUUCAUGAGUAAAAAACGUUUAGAAACUUACUUGUUUUGAUGCCUUCUUAGGUGAGUUAGAACUCACUCUUUUCUUUGCAAUUUUUGAACCUUGUAUAAGCUUUUGUUGAUGGUUUCUCUUCGUUUUUCUUUGUGUGUUUCACUACUGGUAUAUGUUAGAAUGGAUUAGUGAAAGAAAAUUGAAGUUUGAGGGUGGUUUGAAUGGAUUUCGAAAAAUGAAAAAAAGUGAUGAAAAAAAAUGUGUUUUUUGGCUUUUUUCUUCUCUCAAUUUCUCUCUUCAAUCGCCCCUCCUUUCUGAGUUUCGGUUGCUUUAUUUAUACCCAAAAAUUAGGGUUUAUGUUUGAUGGAAAAGGGAAAAAGUUGACUUUCAAUUUUUCCUUGUUGGAAGUAAUGGUCCGAAUGGGAAAGAGGACAACUGUUUGAGUUUAUUGUUCAGUUGGCUGCAGGAAUUUUAACGUGUUCUUCUUGUUGCAGAAUUUUUGGGAAAAAGAAAGAAGAGAAAGGAAAAAUCCUUUCUGGGUUGGAGAAUCAUGCACUGACCUUUGCUGUUCUUGGACAUUUUU
This 707-nucleotide long non-coding RNA is filed under the name Trifolium pratense (red clover). RNAcentral's name for it is "long non-coding RNA (TPRA_LNC004215)". The record is from RNAcentral. Lineage: Eukaryota; Viridiplantae; Streptophyta; Magnoliopsida; Fabales; Fabaceae.